GACGAACGCUGGCGGCGUGCUUAACACAUGCAAGUCGAACGGAAAGGCCCUGCUUUUGUGGGGUGCUCGAGUGGCGAACGGGUGAGUAACACGUGAGUAACCUGCCCUUGACUUUGGGAUAACUUCAGGAAACUGGGGCUAAUACCGGAUAGGAGCUCCUGCUGCAUGGUGGGGGUUGGAAAGUUUCGGCGGUUGGGGAUGGACUCGCGGCGUAUCAGCUUGUUGGUGGGGUAGUGGCUUACCAAGGCUUUGACGGGUAGCCGGCCUGAGAGGGUGACCGGCCACAUUGGAACUGAACUACGGCCCAGACUCCUACGGGACGCAGCGGUGGGGAAUAUUGCACAAUGGGCGGAAGCAUGAUGCAGCACCGCCGCGUGCGGGAUGACGGCCUUCGGGUUGUAAUCCGCUUUCGCAUGUGACGAAGCGUGAGUGACGGUAAUGGGUAAAGAAGCACCGGCUAACUACGUG
RNAcentral lists this ribosomal RNA (468 nucleotides) under uncultured bacterium. RNAcentral describes it as "partial 16S ribosomal RNA". It matches the Rfam family "Bacterial small subunit ribosomal RNA", at positions 28 to 507 of the family's 1533-position model. The record is from RNAcentral.